UUUAAUCAGUUACUAUUUCGAAUAUAUUAAUGCAUCUAAUUGCUUCAUUUUCAUUGCAAUUUUUAAAUUAGUGUAUGAAUUUUAUUUGUUGCAACUCUAAUUGAAUUCCCAUUGAAGUUGUUGUAUUUUCAUGAAGUCUCAUUUAUUUUUUAUGAAACUGGAGCUGUGACUUAGCUAAGCUUAAAUGUGGUUUACCAAAAGUUAGUUAUGUAACAAACUCUGUUAGUUGUUAGUCAGUUCAAUUAAAUAGUUAGAAGACGUACAGCUGUCAGUAGAUGAUUAGUGUAGAAAUUGUAUAUAAGGAACAACUUGUAGUUAAUUCAUUCAUUCCUUUCAGUUCACGUAUUGUACAUUUCUCUCUCUUCUAGAUAUGAAGAUUCUCUCUUUUCUAUACUAGUCUUUCUUCUGUUCUUC
RNAcentral lists this long non-coding RNA (414 nucleotides) under Solanum tuberosum (potato). Its description in RNAcentral is "long non-coding RNA (STUB_LNC000155)". Lineage: Eukaryota; Viridiplantae; Streptophyta; Magnoliopsida; Solanales; Solanaceae. The record is from RNAcentral.